UACAGAGGUCCCGAGCGUUGUUCGGAUUCACUGGGCGUAAAGGGUGCGUAGGUGGUGAGGUAAGUCGGAUGUGAAAGCUCCAAGCUCAACUUGGAAAUGGCAUUGGAAACUACCUUGCUAGAGGGUUUGAGGGGGGACUGGAAUGCUUGGUGUAGCAGUGAAAUGCGUAGAUAUCAAGUGGAACACCAGUGGCGAAGGCGAGUCCCUGGAAAACUCCUGACACUGAGGCACGAAAGCUAGGGGAGCAAACAGG
RNAcentral lists this ribosomal RNA (253 nucleotides) under uncultured bacterium. RNAcentral's name for it is "partial 16S ribosomal RNA". It matches the Rfam family "Bacterial small subunit ribosomal RNA", at positions 524 to 776 of the family's 1533-position model. The record is from RNAcentral.